GGCUUGGUGGCUCAAUAGGGAGAGCAUCAGAUUCCAGAUCUGAAGUGUGUCGGUUCGAACCCGGCUCAAGUCC
This 73-nucleotide transfer RNA is filed under the name Seminavis robusta. It matches the Rfam family "tRNA". Rfam says of the family: Transfer RNA (tRNA) molecules are approximately 80 nucleotides in length. Their secondary structure includes four short double-helical elements and three loops (D, anti-codon, and T loops). Lineage: Eukaryota; Bacillariophyta; Bacillariophyceae; Naviculales; Naviculaceae. The record is from Rfam by way of RNAcentral.